GUCGAACGAAGUCUUCGGACUUUAGUGGCGGACGGGUGAGUAACGCGUGAGAACCUACCCUUAGGACGGGGAUAACAGCUGGAAACGGCUGCUAAUACCCGAUGUGCCGAGAGGUGAAAGAUUUAUUGCCUGAGGAAGGGCUCGCGUCCGAUUAGCUAGUUGGAGUGGUAAUGGCACCCCAAGGCGACGAUCGGUAGCUGGUCUGAGAGGAUGAUCAGCCACACUGGGACUGAGACACGGCCCAGACUCCUACGGGAGGCAGCAGUGGGGAAUUUUCCGCAAUGGGCGCAAGCCUGACGGAGCAAUACCGCGUGCGGGAGGACGGCCUUUGGGUUGUAAACCGCUUUUCUCAGGGAAGAAGUUCUGACGGUACCUGAGGAAUCAGCAUCGGCUAACUCCGUGCCAGCAGCCGCGGUAAUACGGGGGAUGCAAGCGUUAUCCGGAAUUAUUGGGCGUAAAGCGUCCGCAGGUGGUUUGUCAAGUCUGCUGUUAAAGCGUGGAGCUUAACUCCAUAUCGGCGGUGGAAACUGAUGAACUAGAGGGUGGUAGGGGUCACGGGAAUUCCCAGUGUAGCGGUGAAAUGCGUAGAUAUUGGGAAGAACACCAGCGGCGAAAGCGCGUGACUGGGCCAUUACUGACACUCAUGGACGAAAGCUAGGGGAGCGAAAGGGAUUAGAUACCCCUGUAGUCCUAGCCGUAAACGAUGGACACUAGGUGUUGCCCGAUCGACCCGGGCAGUGCCGUAACUAACGCGUUAAGUGUCCCGCCUGGGGAGUACGCACGCAAGUGUGAAACUCAAAGGAAUUGACGGGGGCCCGCACAAGCGGUGGAGUAUGUGGUUUAAUUCGAUGCAACGCGAAGAACCUUACCAGGUCUUGACAUGUCGCGAAUCCCCUUGAAAGGGGGGAGUGCCUUCGGGAGCGCGAGCACAGGUGGUGCAUGGCUGUCGUCAGCUCGUGUCGUGAG
Molecule: ribosomal RNA, 966 nt
Filed under: uncultured cyanobacterium
Lineage: Bacteria; Bacillati; Cyanobacteriota
Description: bacterial SSU rRNA
Rfam family: Bacterial small subunit ribosomal RNA
Source: RNAcentral